CAAGAAGAUAGAACUGGAAAACAAGAGAUGAAAUAACCUGAAACAAUAGAUAUUGUUUAAUAAUUCAAUCUUCUUUUUUUGUUUUUUGGUUUUCCUUCUCCCCAAAAACAAUAAAAUACGUAACUUGGAGAUUGUAUCGUACUCUCAGUCCUCAGUAAUAAUUAAUUACCCCUUCUUCUUUUAUUCCGCCCUUCUUUUUCUUUACCAGGUGAUGGCUGUGGACACCUAGUGACUUAUCAGGAUAGUGGCACAAUGACAUCUAAGAAUUAUCCGGGGACCUACCCCAAUCACACUGUUUGCGAAAAGACAAUUACAGUACCAAAGGGGAAAAGACUGAUUCUGAGGUUGGGAGAUUUGGAUAUCGAAUCCCAGACCUGUGCUUCUGACUAUCUUCUCUUCACCAGCUCUUCAGAUCAAUAUGGUCCAUACUGUGGAAGUAUGACUGUUCCCAAAGAACUCUUGUUGAACACAAGUGAAGUAACCGUCCGCUUUGAGAGUGGAUCCCACAUUUCUGGCCGGGGUUUUUUGUUGACCUACGCGAGCAGCGACCAUCCAGAUUUAAUAACGUGUUUGGAACGAGCUAGCCAUUAUUUGAAGACAGAAUACAGACCUCUUUAUUGUGCAAAGCGGCCAUCCAUGCAGGAAUAAUUGCUGAUGAACUGGGUGGCCAGAUCAGUGUGCUUCAGCGCAAAGGGAUCAGUCGAUAUGAAGGGAUUCUGGCCAAUGGUGUGCUUUCGAGGGAUGGUUCCCUGUCAGACAAGCGAUUUCUGUUUACCUCCAAUGGUUGCAGCAGAUCCUUGAGUUUGGAACCUGACGGGCAAAUCAGAGCUUCUUCCUCAUGGCAGUCGGUCAAUGAGAGUGGAGACCAAGUUCACUGGUCUCCUGGCCAAGCCCGACUUCAGGACCAAGGCCCAUCAUGGGCUUCGGGCGACAGUAGCAACAACCACAAACCACGAGAGUGGCUGGAGAUCGAUUUGGGGGAGAAAAAGAAAAUAACAGGUGCAGAAAAUAACACAAGUGCAAAGUGCAGGAGUAGUUUCAUGACUGUAAAUGACUCGCAGUUGAAAAUAUGCUUAUUGUUUACAUAGGUGCCUCUCUACCUACCUCCAAGAUCUUGAAAUAUUUGAAAAUGUAACAAAUCUUUACAUUCUUUCUGUGGAAAGAAUCUGUAUGCAGGUUGUAAAUAUGGAUAUAUGGAUUAGAGAGAUAAUUCUUCAAUGGUGAAAUCUUUAUAUGGUUUAUUGUCAGUGUGAAAACAUUAAUCUGUGAAGAGAUUUUUAAAUGCAACUAAUAUAAGUUGGCCUGUGAGAUGAUCUGAGGUUUUAAAUGAGGGAGAAAAAAAUGAAACUUGAAAUUAUAAUAGAUGUUAUAUUUAACAAACUUUUAAAAAUAGCCCGUAAAUAUUUUCUUACAAGGAAUUCGGACCACUGGAUCUACACAGUCGAACUUCAACUUUUAUGUUAAGAGUUUUGUGAUGAACUUCAAAAACAAUAAUUCUAAGUGGAAGACCUAUAAAGGAAUUGUGAAUAAUGAAGAAAAGGUAAGAGGUAACCCUAGAGGCAAGAGAACUGAGUAGGAGAACAGGCCUCUAUAUAUUUUCGUCAGUGUGUUUACAUUAAAUAUCUCAAUAAAAGACAGUGAGGCCAGGCAUGGUGGUUCAUGCCUGUAAUCCCCAAGCUUUGGGAAGCCAAGGCAGGAGGAUCAUUUGAGACCAUCCUGGGCAACAUAGCAAGACCCCACCACUACAAAAAAAAAUUUUUUUUUAAUUACCCAAAUGUGGUGGUGCACACUUGUAGUCCUAGAUGCUUGGAAGGCUGAGGCAGGAAGAUCACUUGAGCUCAGGAGUUCAAGGUUACAGUGAAUUAUGAUUGUGCUGUUGCACUACAGCCUGGGCAACAGAGUAAGAUCCUGUCUCUAAAAUAAAAUAAACUAUUUAAAAAGAUGAUGAUGGGCUGGUCGUGCUGGCUCACACAUAUAAUCUCAGCACAUUGGGAGGCUAAGGCAGGUGGAUCACCCAAGGUCAGGAGUUCGAGACCAGCCUGGCCAACAUAGUGAAACCCCAUCUCUACUAAAAAUACAAAAAUUAGCCGGGUGUGGUGGCUGGCGCCUAUAAUCCCAGCUACUUGGGAGGCUGAGGCAGGAGAAUCAUUUGAACCUGGGAGGCGGAGGUUGCAGUGAGCCGAGAUUGCACUAUUGCACUCCAGCCUGGGCGACAAGAGUGAGAUUCCAUCUCAAAAAAAAAAAGAAAAAAAGAAAGAUGGGGCUUUCUUGGCAUCCAAAUCCAAGAAUAAGAAAUGUGUCAAUAAAAACCUUGAGAGCUCUUUGUGAUUUAAUUCUUUUCUACUUCAGGAAUGAAAUACUUGUGGUUUUCUUGGGAAGUGAAAAUUGGCCAUUUGAAAUGGCUGCUUCAGUAUAAGCAUGGUGGAUGUUUGAGUUGGACAUUUGUCUUGGGAUCCUGUUAGUGACAAUGAGAAUUCGGAAGGAAAUGGCAAAGUGAGAGAGCUGAGGCCUUGUGCUCUUGAGGUUGCUUGUCUGUAGCACCAGUUGAAUGUAGGAAUAUUAAGGUCAAAUAAUACAACAAGGCAAUUUUAGCUUCUUUAUCCAAAAUGAAAUUUAAAUCAGUAAACAGAUGAGCAGCACCACCUUAGUUAGAUAAAUUGGCCCUUGUUUGCAAAGCCUCGUAUCUUCAAUAUCAAGAGUGUCUAGAAAAAUGCAACAGACAUAGAAUCCUUGCCUUGGUUUCAUAUAACCAGGUAUAAGUGGGAUGAUAAACACCAAAAAACUCAUUAAUAGAAUCUUAAGGUAAACAUAAUUUCCUUCUAUAGGUGUUUCAGGGUAACUCUAACUUUCGGGACCCAGUGCAAAACAAUUUCAUCCCUCCCAUCGUGGCCAGAUAUGUGCGGGUUGUCCCCCAGACAUGGCACCAGAGGAUAGCCUUGAAGGUGGAGCUCAUUGGUUGCCAGAUUACACAAGGUAAUGAUUCAUUGGUGUGGCGCAAGACAAGUCAAAGCACCAGUGUUUCAACUAAGAAAGAAGAUGAGACAAUCACAAGGCCCGUCCCCUCGGAAGAAACAUCCAUAGGAAUAAAUAUUACAACGGUGGCUAUUCCAUUGGUGCUCCUUGUUGUCCUGGUGUUUGCUGGAAUGGGGAUCUUUGCAGCCUUUAGAAAGAAGAAGAAGAAAGGAAGUCCGUAUGGAUCAGCAGAGGCUCAGAAAACAGACUGUUGGAAGCAGAUUAAAUAUCCCUUUGCCAGACAUCAGUCAGCUGAGUUUACCAUCAGCUAUGAUAAUGAGAAGGAGAUGACUCAAAAAUUAGAUCUCAUCACAAGUGAUAUGGCAGGUUAACUCCGUUGACUGCCAAAAUAGCAUCCCCAACGUGCAGCCCUCCACAUCUAUCAGCAGGUUGCCCCGGAUGGAUCUCAGAGAUGAGGAUUGGAACACCAUGUUCUUUCCCACCCUAACAACAACAACAAAGGGUAGUAAAUUAAAGUAUUCUUUGUAAGGUACAGUUACCGAUUAAUCUAGAGAUAAAAUAUUUUCUUAAAAAUAUAUUUCAUUACACACCUAUGCUGUCUCUAUUUA
This 3581-nucleotide small RNA is filed under the name Pongo abelii (Sumatran orangutan). RNAcentral describes it as "retained intron". The record is from RNAcentral. Lineage: Eukaryota; Metazoa; Chordata; Mammalia; Primates; Hominidae.